RNAcentral lists this ribosomal RNA (301 nucleotides) under uncultured bacterium. RNAcentral's name for it is "partial 16S ribosomal RNA". It matches the Rfam family "Bacterial small subunit ribosomal RNA", at positions 509 to 807 of the family's 1533-position model. The record is from RNAcentral.
CAGCAGCCGCGGUAAUACGAAGGGUGCAAGCGUUAAUCGGAAUUACUGGGCGUAAAGCGUGCGUAGGCGGUUUGUUAAGUCUGUUGUGAAAUCCCCGGGCUCAACCUGGGAAUGGCAAUGGAUACUGGCAAGCUAGAGUGUGUCAGAGGAUGGUGGAAUUCCCGGUGUAGCGGUGAAAUGCGUAGAGAUCGGGAGGAACAUCAGUGGUGAAGGCGGCCAUCUGGGACAACACUGACGCUGAGGCACGAAAGCGUGGGGAGCAAACAGGAUUAGAUACCCCCGUAGUCCCUGUCUCUUAUAC